RNA transcript from Fundulus heteroclitus (mummichog), 447 nucleotides. RefSeq lists it as uncharacterized. Lineage: Eukaryota; Metazoa; Chordata; Actinopteri; Cyprinodontiformes; Fundulidae. The record is from RefSeq and is a predicted model, not a curated record. The transcript is spliced from 3 exons.
CGCGCGGCCAGCCUGACGCAGCGCGUGGGAGACAAACUUCUCUCUCCUCUUCCUCUUCCUCUUCCUCCUCCUCUGCUUCAAGUCCAGGCGCGUCUGGUUUAGGCUUCAGGAUUCAUCCGCGGACCGAGACGCCGGUUCUGUUCUGGACCAGGAGGGUUCUGUUCUGGACCAGGAGGGUUCUGUUCUGGACCAGGAGGGUUCUGCUGUGGACCAGGAAGGUUCUGCAUGCAGGAGAUGCGAGGAGCAGAGGAGGACACCUGGACAUCCAGCUGACGACCGGAUCCAGCUGGACGUCCUGCAGGAGGAUCAGAGCGGCCAUAAGCCAGUUAUGAUGCAGGCUGAGGGGGUGUCGAUCAUGUCUAAAGACGACGUGAUUAACUGCACCAUCAGCCAUGAGAUCCACCAGUACGUCUUCUCCUGCGUCUACAUCCUGGUGUUGGUGGUGAG